Molecule: ribosomal RNA, 507 nt
Filed under: uncultured bacterium
Lineage: Bacteria
Description: bacterial SSU rRNA
Rfam family: Bacterial small subunit ribosomal RNA
Source: RNAcentral
AUUAUGGCUCAGGAUGAACGCUAGCGGCAGGCUUAACACAUGCAAGUCGAGGGGCAUCGGGAGUAGCAAUACUGCCGGCGACCGGCGCAAGGGUGCGUAACGCGUGAGCAACAUGCCCGUAUCAGGGGGAUAAUCCAUGGAAACGUGGUCUAAUACCCCAUAGUAAUUAUGUAAGGCAUCUUAUAUAAUUUAAAGCUUUGGUGGAUACGGAUUGGCUCGCGUGACAUUAGCUAGAUGGUAAGGUAACGGCUUACCAUGGCUACGAUGUCUAGGGGUUCUGAGAGGAAGGUCCCCCACACUGGAACUGAGACACGGUCCAGACUCCUACGGGAGGCAGCAGUGAGGAAUAUUGGACAAUGGAUGGAAAUCUGAUCCAGCCAUGCCGCGUGCAAGGAAGACGGCCCUAUGGGUUGUAAACUGCUUUUGUAUGGGAGCAAUAAGGGCUACGCGUAGUCCGAUGAGAGUACCAUACGAAUAAGCACCGGCUAACUCCGUGCCAGCCGCAGC